GUCCACGCCGUAAACGAUGAGUGCUAGGUGUCACGGGCUUUGACCCUCGUGGUGCCGCAGCUAACGCGUUAAGCACUCCGCCUGGGGAGUACGGCCGCAAGGCUAAAACUCAAAGGAAUUGACGGGGGCCCGCACAAGCGGUGGAGCAUGUUGUUCAAUUCGACGCAACGCGAAGAACCUUACCUGGGCUAGAAAGUACGAGAAUCCGGGCGAAAGUUCGGAGUGCCUUUCGGGGAACUCGUAGUUAGGUGCUGCAUGGCUGUCGU
Molecule: ribosomal RNA, 266 nt
Filed under: uncultured bacterium
Lineage: Bacteria
Description: partial 16S ribosomal RNA
Rfam family: Bacterial small subunit ribosomal RNA
Source: RNAcentral